GGGGAUAUAGCUCAGUUGGUAGAGUGCUUGACUUGCAUGCACAAGACCCUGGGUUCAAUCCCCAGCACCA
This 70-nucleotide transfer RNA is filed under the name Urocitellus parryii (Arctic ground squirrel). RNAcentral describes it as "Spermophilus parryii (Arctic ground squirrel) tRNA". It matches the Rfam family "tRNA". Rfam says of the family: Transfer RNA (tRNA) molecules are approximately 80 nucleotides in length. RNAcentral also lists the same sequence under 2 other names. Lineage: Eukaryota; Metazoa; Chordata; Mammalia; Rodentia; Sciuridae. The record is from Rfam by way of RNAcentral.